RNAcentral lists this ribosomal RNA (200 nucleotides) under uncultured bacterium. RNAcentral describes it as "partial 16S ribosomal RNA". It matches the Rfam family "Bacterial small subunit ribosomal RNA", at positions 29 to 217 of the family's 1533-position model. The record is from RNAcentral.
AACGAACGUUAGCGGCGCGCUUAACACAUGCAAGUCGAGCGAGAAAGGGCUUCGGCCCCGGUAAAGCGGCGCACGGGUGAGUAACACGUAGGUAAUCUGCCCUCGGGUGGUGGAUAACUUUCCGAAAGGAAGGCUAAUACAGCAUGAGACCACUGAUUCCGAAAGGGAUUGAGGUCAAAGCCGGCCAAUUCAUGAAAGCU